UUAACUUUUGUUAUUCUCUUUAUUUUUCUCCAGAAUAUUAAAAAUAAACAAAUUCAUUAGAUCAAAGGACAGUUAACUUAAUAACACUACAUGGAUUAUUUGAUGUCUAGACAUGUAUAAAUGAAGUCCCUAAUCAAAACAUUUGCUUCAAACUUUUAAUUACAAAUUUACAUUCGCUAAAAUGAAGAGCAAACAUAAAGGAAGGCAUCCUAGAUAGUGGUGUACACACCAGAAGUAGAAAAAAGGCUGACAACGCUGAAGUGACUGGUGAUCACAAAUACCCGACCUAGAUCUCAGCUAUCAAGGAUCAUACUCUUUAGUCACACGAGAUGUUGCAAAAGGAAAAGAUAAUCAACUAAAACAUAAAAUGCCAGAUAGAAAAUACAUAUGUACUCGACUUCAAUUUAUACCAUCUAAUUAGUAAUUAAAAUCUAAAAAAAAAAUCUAGCCUUAGCUUAAAUAAUUCUAUCAUCUUAACCAAACAAAAUUUGAAAAUCUGAAUCCACAAGGGAAUGUUCAACAGACAAAAUAAGCAUAAAAAAAUAAAAAAUAAAACAACAGGAGUGUAAAACCAAGAUAAAAAUGAAACAUGGGCCAGGUGAUCAAAUAGUUUGAAGCUGAGGAUUUUUAAGUCAAUUUUACAUCCAAAUAUCAAUGAAAAACCGCUGCACACAGAUACAAGACAACAAACAUUCGUAUCUUAUUCAUACACUUUUAAAGGGAAAAAAAGAAAUUAAAAUUAAAUUAUAAAUAAAUAUUCAUAUGACAAUUUGGGUCAAAACCAUUGUAUCAUAUUUAGUUCUCACAAAAAAAAAAAAAAG
Non-coding RNA from Biomphalaria pfeifferi, 821 nucleotides. The record is from the annotation of a GenBank genome assembly. Lineage: Eukaryota; Metazoa; Mollusca; Gastropoda; Planorbidae.